RNAcentral lists this long non-coding RNA (604 nucleotides) under Homo sapiens (human). Its description in RNAcentral is "HSALNT0190724". Lineage: Eukaryota; Metazoa; Chordata; Mammalia; Primates; Hominidae. The record is from RNAcentral.
UUUUUUUUGGUAUUUUUAGUGGAGAUGGGGUUUCAGCAUGUUGGCCAGGCUGGUCUCAAACUCCUGACCUCAAGUGAUCUGCCUAUCUCAGCCUCCCAAAGUGCUAGGAUUAUAGGUGUGAGCCACCUCACCCGGCCUGAACCCAGAUUUCUGGUGGUCUUCCCACAUCCACAUCCUCAUCCUCAUCCUCCCUCCUCCCUGCUGAAGACAUGAGAACCAUUUCACUUUGCUUUAGACAAAAGAUGUUAUUCACACUUUGGGCACCAGGCUGCUGAAUAAUGAUUUUCCAACUUUCAUUUUAAAAACUAUUUUAAAACCAUAAAAAUGACAGAUUAUCAAGCUUCUUUACUGAUAAAAUUAAUUACAGAGAAUGAUUGAACUGAUAAGGAUUUCAUUUAGUAACUUGAGACUGUCUUUUGGAACUUUUUCCAAUUAAUUGGUUUGAGACAGUAAGGUCUGACGCCAAGUUAUUUUUGUCUAAUAAAUUUUAUGUUAUUGCUAGACUAGAACAUACUUCUUUAAAUACAAUCUAAAGAACAUAAAGAAGUAAAAAAAUAAGCCAUUGAAAAAUAAGCUAUAGGUUCUCCAACCAAACAAAACGUUG